UGAGCAACACAACCGAACUCUCGGUUAGACUCCGAGAGUUUGGUGGUGUUGUUCA
Molecule: microRNA precursor, 55 nt
Filed under: Heligmosomoides polygyrus
Lineage: Eukaryota; Metazoa; Nematoda; Chromadorea; Rhabditida; Heligmosomidae
Description: microRNA hpo-mir-10079 precursor
Source: miRBase by way of RNAcentral